RNAcentral lists this long non-coding RNA (277 nucleotides) under Elaeis guineensis (African oil palm). RNAcentral describes it as "long non-coding RNA (EGUI_LNC069108)". Lineage: Eukaryota; Viridiplantae; Streptophyta; Magnoliopsida; Arecales; Arecaceae. The record is from RNAcentral.
CACUAAAGGCAUGAGGCAAGGCUUAAAUUGUGCAUGGAGUGAUUUCAUGAGAAACCUUUUCUCAUGUAAUAAAUAGGGCGUAAAAAAAGGGAUAAGGUGCAAAGAUUGAUUGCCUAUUCAAAUUCAAACUUUAUUUUGAAUUUGAAUGGCCAACCAAUCAUCCUUAUCCAUCCAUUUGGCACAUUAAAGUGGGGUGUGGAGAGGGCUUGGCGUGAGAAAAAAAUCCAUGAGAAGUUCCUUCUCAUGAAUCCAAAUGGGUGCAAUGGAAGUGAGGUGG